UCCUACGGGACGCAGCAGUAGGGAAUCUUCCACAAUGGACGGAAGUCUGAUGGAGCAACGCCGCGUGAGUGAAGAAGGGUUUCGGCUCGUAAAGCUCUGUUGGUAGUGAAGAAAGAUAGAGGUAGUAACUGGCCUUUAUUUGACGGUAAUUACUUAGAAAGUCACGGCUAACUACGUGCCAGCAGCCGCGGUAAUACGUAGGUGGCAAGCGGUGUCCGGAUUUAUUGGGCGUAAAGCGAGUGCAGGCGGGUCAAUAAGUCUGAUGUGAAAACCUUCGGCUCCACCGGAGAAUUGCAUCA
Molecule: ribosomal RNA, 299 nt
Filed under: uncultured bacterium
Lineage: Bacteria
Description: partial 16S ribosomal RNA
Rfam family: Bacterial small subunit ribosomal RNA
Source: RNAcentral